UACGGGGGGGGUAAGCGUUGUUCGGAAUUACUGGGCGUAAAGGGCUCGUAGGCGGCCAACUAAGUCAUACGUGAAAUCCCUCGGCUUAACCGGGGAACUGCGUCUGAUACUGGAUGGCUUGAGUUCGGGAGAGGGAUGCGGAAUUCCAGGUGUAGCGGUGAAAUGCGUAGAUAUCUGGAGGAACACCGGUGGCGAAGGCGGCAUCCUGGACCGAUACUGACGCUGAGGAGCGAAAGCGUGGGGAGCAAACAGG
This 253-nucleotide ribosomal RNA is filed under the name uncultured bacterium. Its description in RNAcentral is "partial 16S ribosomal RNA". It matches the Rfam family "Bacterial small subunit ribosomal RNA", at positions 524 to 776 of the family's 1533-position model. The record is from RNAcentral.